Molecule: ribosomal RNA, 757 nt
Filed under: Glomeromycotina sp. OTU25 DJMC-2012
Lineage: Eukaryota; Fungi; Glomeromycota
Description: eukaryotic LSU rRNA
Rfam family: Eukaryotic large subunit ribosomal RNA
Source: RNAcentral
GCGGAGGAAAAGAAAAUAACAAUGAUUCCCUUAGUAACUGCGAGUGAAGGGGGAAAAGCUCAAAUUUUAAAUCUGUUAGGUUAUACCUGACCGAGUUGUAAUUUGAAGAGGCGUUUUCUGAGGGUUUGAUCAGUCCAAGUCCUUUGGGAUAAGGCAUCAUGGAGGGUGAGAAUCCCGUUCGGUUGAUCAGAACUUCUUUACGAUACGUCAUCAAAGAGUCAAGUUGUUUGGGAUUGCAGCUUAAAAUGGGAGGUAAAUUUCUCCUAAGGCUAAAUAACGGCGAGAGACCGAUAGCGAACAAGUACCGUGAGGGAAAGAUGAAAAGAACUUUGAAAAGAGAGUUAAACAGUACGUGAAAUUGUUGAAAGGGAAACGAUUGAAGCCAGUCGUACCGGCGGGUAAUCAGCCUUUUGGGUGUGAUUAUGUGGAGCGUGAGGAGUUAAUCACCCUCAUCUUUGCAUAUUCGUGCACUUUGGGUGUACUUGCUCGUGUGGUAGGUUAACAUCAAUUUUGAUCGUCAUAAAAUGAUUGGAGGAAUGUAGCUUCGAUCUCGUAUUGAAGUGUUAUAGCCUUCGGUAGAUGUGAUGAUUGGGAUUGAGGAUUGCAACGGAUACCCUUCGGGGCUACCUGUCUGAUCUCUGAAAGUUGCUCUGGUGCUGAAAGCUUGCUUAUGGUAUCAAAGUUGACGUUCAACAGGUUAGAACGGGAUAAAUUCGUKRAGGAUGUUGACGUAAUGGCUUUAAACGACCCGUCUUGA